UCUUCAUUUUUAAAGUAUGUGUGUGCUUAU
Molecule: non-coding RNA, 30 nt
Filed under: Rattus norvegicus (Norway rat)
Lineage: Eukaryota; Metazoa; Chordata; Mammalia; Rodentia; Muridae
Source: RNAcentral